AUUGAACGCUGGCGGCAGGCCUAACACAUGCAAGUCGAACGGUAACAGGAGACAGCUUGCUGUUUCGCUGACGAGUGGCGGACGGGUGAGUAAUGUCUGGGAAACUGCCUGAUGGAGGGGGAUAACUACUGGAAACGGUAGCUAAUACCGCAUAACGUCGCAAGACCAAAGAGGGGGACCUUCGGGCCUCUUGCCAUCGGAUGUGCCCAGAUGGGAUUAGCUAGUAGGUGGGGUAACGGCUCACCUAGGCGACGAUCCCUAGCUGGUCUGAGAGGAUGACCAGCCACACUGGAACUGAGACACGGUCCAGACUCCUACGGGAGGCAGCAGUGGGGAAUAUUGCACAAUGGGCGCAAGCCUGAUGCAGCCAUGCCGCGUGUAUGAAGAAGGCCUUCGGGUUGUAAAGUACUUUCAGCGGGGAGGAAGGGAGUAAAGUUAAUACCUUUACUCAUUGACGUUACCCGCAGAAGAAGCACCGGCUAACUCCG
RNAcentral lists this ribosomal RNA (488 nucleotides) under uncultured bacterium. RNAcentral's name for it is "partial 16S ribosomal RNA". It matches the Rfam family "Bacterial small subunit ribosomal RNA", at positions 30 to 505 of the family's 1533-position model. The record is from RNAcentral.